This 3558-nucleotide ribosomal RNA is filed under the name Triticum aestivum (bread wheat). RNAcentral describes it as "partial small subunit ribosomal RNA". Lineage: Eukaryota; Viridiplantae; Streptophyta; Magnoliopsida; Poales; Poaceae. The record is from RNAcentral.
AUGGACUCUGGGGCGACAGAGCAUCUGACCAGCGAGAUGGGGAAGCUUCACACUCGUGAACCCUAUCAUGGCUCCGACAAGAUCCACACCGCCAAUGGAGCAGGUAUGCACAUCUCUCAUAUUGGUCAAGCAUCUCUUCUCACUAGACAUGCCAAUAGGAGUCUUCAGCUUCGCAAUGUUCUUCGCGUUCCAUCUGUGACCCGCAAUCUUCUUUCAGUUCCUAAACUCACACGUGAUAAUAAUGUGCUUUGUGAAUUUCACCCUUUUGAUCUUUUUAUUAAGGAUCGGGGCAUGAGGGACAUUCUUCUUAGUGGGCGGUUGUGCCAGGGCCUCUACCGUCUGGAGCAUCCUGGCGUCGCUCGCGUUUUCAGUGGAGUUCGGGUCUCUCCGUCACAGUGGCAUGCUCGUCUUGGUCACCCGGCCACACCUAUUGUCCGUCAUAUUUUGCGUCGUCAUGAGCUUCCUAGUUUGUCUAGUAAUAAAGAUGUAGCAGUGUGUGAUGCUUGUCAGCAGGGGAAGAGUCAUCAACUUCCUUUUUCGGAGUCCAGUCGUGAGGUGAAACAUCCGUUAGAACUUGUGUUUUCAGAUGUAUGGGGUCCUGCUCAGACUUCUGUCAGUGGUCAUAAUUACUAUAUCAGUUUCGUUGAUGCUUAUAGUCGCUUUACCUGGCUUUACCUUAUUAAACGCAAAUCUGAUGUGUUUGAUAUUUUUGUUCAGUUUCGAAAACAUGUUGAACGUCUUCUCAAGCACAAAAUUGUUCAUGUCCAGUCGGACUGGGGGGGCGAGUAUCGCAACCUCAACUCCUUCUUUCAGUCGCUUGGGAUAGCUCAUCGUUUAGCAUGUCCACAUACACAUCAGCAGAAUGAUUCAGUCGAACGUAAGCAUCGUCAUAUUGUUGAAGCUGGUCUUACUCUUUUGGCCCAUGCAUCUGUUCCGUUUCGGUUUUGGAGUGAUGCUUUCACCACUGCAUGCUUUCUCAUCAAUCGUACUCCUACUCGUGUUUUAAACAUGAAGACUCCCAUUGAGGUUCUCCUUAAUGAACAACCUGAUUAUACCUUUCUCAAGGUAUUUGGGUGUGCUUGCUGGCCGCAUCUUCGUCCAUAUAACAAGCGCAAGCUUGAGUUUCGUUCUAAGAAGUGUGUUUUCCUUGGCUAUAGCUCUCUUCAUAAAGGUUACAAAUGUCUUCAUGUUCCCACUAAUCGUGUCUAUAUAUCUCGGGACGUCGUGUUUGAUGAGCAUGUUUUUCCCUUUGCCAACCUUCCUGUGUCCACUGUCGAACCACCAUCCCUGCAUUCAUCCUCUGUUGCUUCUGACCAAUUUCAUGAUGUUGCAUACUCUCCUUUGCUGUUACCUAACCAUGGUGCAGGAACCGGACGUGGAGCUCGUUUGGAGCUGUUGGAGGAUUCACCAUCAUCAUCGUCGUCUUCUGGUGGGCAUGUCGAUCGCCCUCUGUUGCAUGGCAUCGAUUCGCGUGCCCAUGCAUGGUCACCCGACGAGCCCGUCGCGCCGAGCAUCUCCACUGCUCGGUCUGCUACGCCAGUGAUCGCCGAGUCUCCAGCGGCUCGGCCUUUUUCGCCAGCGGCCGCCGAGUCGCCCGUGGCUCGGCCCGUCACGCCGUCUUCGCCCGCGGCUCGGGUCCUCACGUCGCCUUCAUCAGCGGAUCGGCCCGCGACACCGGCCGCGCCACGGCCCACUAUGCCGAGCUCGCCAUCGGCCCGGUCUGGGAUGCCGGAGUCGCCAGCUGCUUCGUCUGCUCUGCCGGUUUCGCCGGUGGGCCGGCCUUCUUCGCCGACUGAGUCCGAGGCUACCGUGCCUGGCUCCUCGUCACCGGCUGACUCAUCAACGUCGCCGUCCUCCAGCCCGUUGCAGGCUGCUCCGUCGACCUCGGUGGUUCCUGUGUCUCGACCACAUACACGCAGUCGCAGUGGCAUUUUCAAACCUAAGGAACGUACGGAUGGUACGGUUGCUUGGUUGGCUGCUUGUUUGGCUGCUGCUGUUGCGGAUCCAUCUUCUGAGCCUCGCUCAUAUCAGGCUGCCCUGCGCAUUCCACAUUGGCGAGAGGCUAUGGAGCAGGAGUUUCAUGCUCUUCUUCGUAACAAGACAUGGACUCUCGUUCCUCCACCACCACGGGUAAAUGUUAUUGACUCAAAAUGGGUAUUCAAAGUGAAGAAGCAUUCGGAUGGAUCUAUUGAGCGUUACAAAGCGCGACUUGUUGCUCGCGGUUUUCGGCAGCGUCAUGGUCUUGACUAUGAGGACACCUUCAGUCCUGUCAUCAAGCCUACCACUAUUCGGCUUCUUCUCUCCAUUGCUGUUUCUCGUGGUUGGUCCCUUCGUCAACUUGAUGUGCAGAAUGCUUUUCUACAUGGAUUUUUGGUGGAAGAGGUUUAUAUGAAACAGCCGCCUGGUUUCUCUGAUCCUGAUCAUCCUGACUAUAUCUGUCAUCUUUCCAAAGCACUAUAUGGUUUGAAGCAAGCUCCUCGUGCCUGGCAUGCCCGCCUUGCCUCUGCCCUUCAUGCUCAUGGGUUUGUGCCGUCCACUGCUGACACUUCAUUAUUUCUUCUACAGAAGCCAGAAGUCACUAUGUAUCUUUUGGUAUAUGUCGAUGAUAUUAUCCUUGUCAGCUCUUCUCAGUAUGCUGCUGAUGCUCUUGUCUGCUCUCUUGGUGCUGAUUUUGCGGUCAAAGAUCUUGGGAAGCUUCACUACUUUCUUGGAGUUGAGGUCACUUCUCGUGCUACUGGUCUUGUCCUUACGCAAAAGAAGUACUCCUUGGAGUUGUUACAAAAAGCCGGCAUGCUGAAGUGCAAACCGACCACCACACCCAUGUCGUCUACCGACAAGAUAACAGCUGUUGAUGGUGAGCUUUUGUCUCCUGCGAAUGCCACAGAGUACAGAAGCAUUGUUGGUGGACUUCAGUACUUGACGAUCACGAGACCAGAUAUCUCUUAUGCUGUUAACAGGGUUUGUCAGUAUCUUCAGGCUCCCAGAGAUACUCAUUGGGUUGCUGUUAAACGCAUUCUUCAUUAUGUUCAGUUCACCCUGACUUUUGGUAUGCAUAUUCGGCCGACUUCCUCUCGGGUCCUUUCGGCCUUCUCUGAUGCAGAUUGGGCUGGUAGCCCAGAUGACAGGCGAUCCAUGGGGGGUUAUGCAGUAUUCUUUGGCUCUAAUUUGAUCACCUGGAGUGCUCGGAAACAGGCUACUGUGUCAUGUAGCAGUACUGAAGCUGAGUACAAGGCUGUGGCUAAUGCUACUGCAGAGAUUAUUUGGGUGCAGUCUUUGCUUCAGGAGUUGGGUUUGUCUCAACCACAGCCUCCUAUUCUUUGGUGUGAUAACAUCGGUGCUACAUACCUUUCUGCAAAUCCAGUAUUUCAUGCCCGAACGAAACACAUUGAAGUUGACUAUCACUUUGUACGGGAACGUGUAUCACAUAAGCAACUUCAGAUCAAGUUUAUCUCGUCUAAGGAUCAACUUGCAGAUAUCUUCACUAAGCCUUUACCACUGCCACAGUUUGAGGCUUGUAGGCGCAAUCUUACCCUUCUCAGUUCUUUAGAAAGUGGCUAA